This 338-nucleotide ribosomal RNA is filed under the name uncultured archaeon. RNAcentral describes it as "partial 16S ribosomal RNA". It matches the Rfam family "Archaeal small subunit ribosomal RNA", at positions 133 to 475 of the family's 1478-position model. The record is from RNAcentral.
CGGGAAACUGGGGAUAAUACCCUAUAGACUAUGGAUGCUGGAAUGCUUCGUAGUUGAAAGGUCCGCCGCUGUAGGAUGGGUCUGCGGCCGAUUAGGUUGUUGUUGGGGUAACGGCCCAACAAGCCUGUAAUCGGUACGGGUUGUGGGAGCAAGAGCCCGGAGAUGGAUUCUGAGACAACGAUCCAGGCCCUACCGGGGGGCAGCAGGCGGGAAAAUUUACCAAUGCGGGAAACCGUGAUAAGGGAACUCUGAGUGCCCGUAAAAUCGGGCUGUCCAUCAGUUUAAAUAACUGGUGAAGAAAGGGCCGGGCAAGACCGGUGCCAGCCGCCGCGGUAACA